GCUGCAACUUUUUAUACUUGUUGGAUUGUAUGGGAGACUGCCAGAAGCCUUGCCAAUGUCCAGCAAUGCAAUAAGAUUGCUUUCCUUUUGGCCAUGGAGUUCACAGUCAUAUCACACAGAGGGCAUUCAGUUUCUAGAUUCAGUCUCUUGAAGUUGGCCUAGUGUAAAGAAAUGUUUUGGGCAUGGAAUAAAAUCUCAAGACAGUAUCUCAGGACUACUCCUUUUAAAGAUAGAGUGGAAACAAGUUUUGUGUUUGUCUUGUGACCAUGGACAAGAUGGGUGAAAUGAUGUAGCAUUCAUGUUGCUGAAGAGUGAGCAAAUUUGAUGAAAAGGAGGAAGCAGGAAUGUGAGAAUAGAAGAGGACCUGAUCAAAAACCUCCCUUUUGAUGAGUAGGAACCUGGAUGGAUGCCUGUGGCAGGCUGUUGCAGUACACAAUGAUAUUUGAGGACAAAUUACUUCAAUUACUUGUUUGUUCCAUGUCAAUAUGAACAUUAGCCAUUAAGCAGUUAGCUUUCAUAAAGUGAAAUUUGACUUACCCUAAUCCAAAGCAUAAAAGGUAAAAUAUUUCUCAAAGUGACAGGACUAGGUUAUUUUUGUAGAUGUGCCUACUGACUUUUGAGGUAGGGCUCUGAUGUGCUUGGGACUUCUUGAAUUUACAAGAUGUGUCCUCACUGCAUUGCAGGACUUGGGGCUAAGAGCAAAUUGAAGCACAUAAUUAUGUUCUGACAGGUGGAAUCUUAAAUGCUAUCAUAGUACAUUUUAGCAUUUUGCUAGGGCUCCUUCUUAGGCUUAUUUAUCUGAGCAAGGGCUUUUGUUUGGCUUCAGGGUAAAGGACAGUCUAGCUCUUAGUUUUGAAAGGCAAUAUUAAUAUGAACAAUUCUUAAUAACAGCUGCUUCAGAGAGCCUUAAUAUGAUGUUAUGCAAGUUUAAAUUUCUUGUCUUCUAGCAUACUGAUUUAGCUAUUGUUUCCUUUAAAGAAGGGUGAAACUUUGAGGCAUGUGUUAUUAGACUUUUUUGAUUAAACUUGCAUUGCUAGUACAAAUUCAUAAUAUUACUUACCAGUCACUUCAUUUCCCACAUAAAGUACUUCUUAUCUGUCUCCUUUGAGGAGUGCACUUAUUAAAACAGGCACACAGGACACACACGCUCCAAUAACUUUGAUAGCAUUUAUUAGUAUUGCAUAUUCUGUGUGGCCAUAGCUUCACACAGGUAGGACAGCUUAUCUUCAAAUACUUGGAUAAACUGUGCAAGAUGUCACUGGACACCUCUGAUAAGUGUCCAUUGUCUUUACAUCUGCUUCUCUUCAGACAUUUUUACAAACUGAUAAAUUCCCUUAACUGUCUUCUUCAUAGCUCUUUGCUUGACUCUCUGCAGCAGCCCCAUAUUUCUGGGGAGCCCAGGAUUGGACACAGCACUGCAGCUGUGGCCUCACCAGGGCUGAGGAGAGGGGGAAGGAUCCCCUCUCUUGAUCUGGCAGCAAUGCUUCUGAUGUAGCCCAGGAUACUGGUGGUCCUGUUAGCCACAAGGGCAUCUUGGUGUCUAUCAGCAUCCCCAGGGCCUCUUCUGCAAAGCAGCUUUCCAGCUGCCUGCCCCCAGCACAUACUGACACAGGAACUCCUGAGGUUGUCCCUCUUCAGGCACUGGAAUU
Passer domesticus (house sparrow) is the source of this 1649-nucleotide long non-coding RNA. RefSeq lists it as uncharacterized. The record is from RefSeq and is a predicted model, not a curated record. Lineage: Eukaryota; Metazoa; Chordata; Aves; Passeriformes; Passeridae. The transcript is spliced from 4 exons.